GUCACAUGUUUCCAAUCCAUCCUUCUUUCAUCCCCAUUAUCAAUUGCAAAAAUUCUUCUUUGAAUCAUCAUCAAUAAUACGAAUUCGGUCCGGCGAUUGAUGCGAAGAAUAACGAAAGAAGAUCAAAUUGAUUCAGAUUGAAACCCUAGCCUCCCUCUUUCUUUGGCUUGAAGCUUCUACCAUACGCUUUCCUGAAACCCUAAAGUAUCAUACGCUUCUUCUUCUUGUACCUGCAUCUCAUUCUCUCAGAAUCGCUUGUGCUAUUUCAAAACCCUUAUCUCAGAUUCUUUAAUUACGGCCAUUCCUUUAAGAGUGAAUCAGAUAACUAUUGUUGGCCAAUUGACUAUAAUAAUUUGAGAGCUGGAAAUGGCAUACUAAAGAUACCUGAUAAUGGUUAUGAAAAUCUCAAAGAAAGGAGAAUAAUUCUUUUAGCACUUCCCUGUUAUGAAGCAAAGAGAAGUUGUAAACAAAUAUUUAAAAGUGAUUAAAACAACCGAUUAAGCUGGCCUUCACAUGGCUCACUAUGGACUACUAAAAUUGUUGAACCAAGCCCUUUCGUUUUGUUUGUAUAUAGAAUAGUACCUUAUCCUCAGCUCUAUGGUGUCUAUUUUUUGCAAUUCAUUCAGCCUGAUGGUUUCUUAUUCAUAACAAAACCAAUGACCUAUGUGAAAAGAUGCAGGAAACAAGUCAGAACAGUCUAGGAGGUGAACCAAUUUCUAAUGACUUAAUCUACCUUCAGGUACAUGUAACACUGGUUUAGGUACGUGUAAUAGUUGGUUGAUAAAUGUUAUUUAUCAUAGAUCUAUAGUGGGGACUUUAGUUUGAUUUAGCCCUCAAAAUAGUUUGUUUUAUUAAAUAAGAUUAGGAUUCUAGCAUUAUUUUUUAGCGAAAAGUAGGCAUCCUAGCAGAAAAUAGUCAAAGAGGUCAAAGUUCUUGCAUUCCUAUGGAUUAAAAAUUGAGCAAGAAUGAAUGCACUUGGUUAGGAGGAAUGGAAAACGCUAAAAGUGUAAUGAUACGUUUAGUGGAAUGUAAUAUGUAUGAUGUAAAUACUUUGGUGUUUGGGUUAAGCUUUCGGCUUUCCCUAUAUUAAUAAAGAUUUUGUUUGUCGCUAAAAAAAAGAUAUCUGCCAAUACUUUGGUGUUUGGGUUAAGCUUUCGGCUUUCCCUAUAUUAAUCAACAUACUUUUGAAUAAAUUAUGUCACUUUGUUUUGAAUUUAUUUGAUUUAUACACAUACAAUCAAUUUGUUUGUAUUAUUUUGUUUAUAUGUAAGUAAUUCAUAAUUAAUGUAAAUAAUUUUCUCGAGCUCGGGAAGCAAUCCCGGGUGAUAACCUAGUGUCUAAUAUAUAUCGUAAACAUGAAUCUGGCUAUUCUAAAAGGCAAAAGAAACAAAAACGAGAAACUGAGGGUUUUUCUCAAAUUGUUUUCAUUUUUUUUUUUGGGGGGGGGGGGGGGGAAGCCACAAUCUUUUACUUCGUUUUAGGCCAUAAAAAUGGUUGAGCCAGCUGCUGGUCUAUACAAAUGAGUGUCGCCGAAGAUAUACUAAUAAUGGGUUGUCCGUGUGUAAUUACUAACGAAUCACCAAUGGAAUAUUGUAAAAACCCAAUUAAAAGUAAAAAGAGAAAACUAAAAAAAAGUGUUAGUAGCUGGCAAAUGUUAUAGCGGUGUACAUGUAAAAGCUUAGGAACAACGACACGACCACACACUCACUUUGCUUAAUCAUGUGAACAAGUGAAUAUAUCUUUGCUUGUAUGUUAACUUUUCAGAGUACGAAUUAUGGAUCCUUUUGUCUCUAUAUCUAUGUAUCUGUGCACAUCAAUUCCUUUUGAUUCUCUUAAAUAUGAUUUUAGAGUAUGGUAUGUGGGGAGUGAUCGUAAAUUAUUUUUGUAUUAUUGAAUUUGUUUUUUGAAUUCUUUCAACUACAAGGCACUCCACAACCUAUUUGACAUUCUAAUUUGGUAUCAAAACAUUGUGUGCCAUUUCGACAACAACAAUAUUGUAUCUUUUGACCACUUUUAUGUAUCCAACAAACUCUGCUUGGACGUU
This 2044-nucleotide long non-coding RNA is filed under the name Helianthus annuus (common sunflower). RNAcentral's name for it is "hypothetical non coding rna". Lineage: Eukaryota; Viridiplantae; Streptophyta; Magnoliopsida; Asterales; Asteraceae. The record is from RNAcentral.